RNAcentral lists this ribosomal RNA (441 nucleotides) under uncultured bacterium. RNAcentral's name for it is "partial 16S ribosomal RNA". It matches the Rfam family "Bacterial small subunit ribosomal RNA", at positions 338 to 795 of the family's 1533-position model. The record is from RNAcentral.
CCUACGGGAGGCAGCAGUGGGGAAUAUUGCACAAUGGGGGAAACCCUGAUGCAGCGACGCCGCGUGAGCGAGGAAGUAUUUCGGUAUUUAAAGCUCUAUCAGCAGGGACGAAAAAAGACGGUACCUGACUAAGAAGCCAGGGCUAACUACGUGCGAGCCGCCGCGGUAAUUCGUAGGGGGCAAGCGUUAUCCGAAUGUACUGGGUUUAAAGGGAGCGUAAGCGGCAAGGAAAGCCAGAAGGGAAAGGGCAGGGCUCAACCCUGGACAUGCUUUUGGAACUGUGGUGCUAGAGUGCAGGAGAGGUAAGUGGAAUUCGUAGUGUAGCGGUGAAAUGCGUAGAUAUUAGGAGGAACACCAGUGGCGAAGGCGGCUUACUGGACUGUAACUGACGUUGAGGCUCGAAAGCGUGGGGAGCAAACAGGAUUAGAUACCCCUGUAGUC